GCGAUAUUAACUCAGUUGGUAGAGCGGGAGUUUUCCAAACUCCAGGUCAUCGGUUCGAACCCGUUAUAUCGCUCCA
RNAcentral lists this transfer RNA (76 nucleotides) under Vibrio phage eugene 12A10. Its description in RNAcentral is "tRNA-Gly". It matches the Rfam family "tRNA". From Rfam's summary of the family: Transfer RNA (tRNA) molecules are approximately 80 nucleotides in length. The record is from RNAcentral. Lineage: Duplodnaviria; Heunggongvirae; Uroviricota; Caudoviricetes.